Molecule: ribosomal RNA, 253 nt
Filed under: uncultured prokaryote
Description: partial 16S ribosomal RNA
Rfam family: Bacterial small subunit ribosomal RNA
Source: RNAcentral
UACGUAGGAGGCGAGCGUUGUCCGGAUUUACUGGGCGUAAAGCGCGCGCAGGCGGCAUCGUAAGUAAGGUGUGAAAUCUCCCUGCUCAACGGGGAGGGUGCCCCUUAGACUACGAAGCUAGAGGUCGGUAGAGGGGGGUAGAAUUGCUGGUGUAGCGGUGAAAUGCGUAGAGAUCAGCAGGAAUACCCGUGGCGAAGGCGGCCCCCUGGGCCGUACCUGACGCUGAGGCGCGAAGGCUAGGGGAGCGACCCGG